GUGGGGAAUAUUGGACAAUGGGCGCAAGCCUGAUCCAGCCAUGCCGCGUGAGUGAUGAAGGCCCUAUGGUUGUAAAGCUCUUUCACCGAUGAAGAUAAUGACGGUAGUCGGAGAAGAAGCCCCGGCUAACUUCGUGCCAGCAGCCGCGGUAAUACGAAGGGGGCUAGCGUUGUUCGGAAUUACUGGGCGUAAAGCGCACGUAGGCGGAUAUUUAAGUCAGGGGUGAAAUCCCAGAGCUCAACUCUGGAACUGCCUUUGAUACUGGGUAUCUCGAGUAUGGAAGAGGUGAGUGGAAUUCCGAGUGUAGAGGUGAAAUUCGUAGAUAUUCGGAGGAACACCAGUGGCGAAGGCGGCUCACUGGUCCAUUACUGACGCUGAGGUGCGAAAGCGUGGGGAGCAAACAGGAUUAGAAACCCCGGUAGUCC
RNAcentral lists this ribosomal RNA (425 nucleotides) under uncultured bacterium. Its description in RNAcentral is "partial 16S ribosomal RNA". It matches the Rfam family "Bacterial small subunit ribosomal RNA", at positions 354 to 796 of the family's 1533-position model. The record is from RNAcentral.